AAGGGUGCUCAGCUCUGUGUG
Molecule: unclassified non-coding RNA, 21 nt
Filed under: Chlamydomonas reinhardtii
Lineage: Eukaryota; Viridiplantae; Chlorophyta; Chlorophyceae; Chlamydomonadales; Chlamydomonadaceae
Description: small RNA Cre_0136
Source: RNAcentral